RNAcentral lists this microRNA precursor (98 nucleotides) under Tupaia belangeri (northern tree shrew). Its description in RNAcentral is "miRNA (ENSTBEG00000021190.1)". The record is from RNAcentral. Lineage: Eukaryota; Metazoa; Chordata; Mammalia; Scandentia; Tupaiidae.
AUCACCUGGAGAUUUAGUUGAAAUGCAGGUUCUGAUUUAGCAGGUCAGGGAUGGGGCUGCAAGUCUGCAUUUCUAAUAAGUUCCCAGCCAAUGACAAU